This is a long non-coding RNA of Papaver somniferum (opium poppy), 682 nucleotides long. RefSeq lists it as uncharacterized. The record is from RefSeq and is a predicted model, not a curated record. Lineage: Eukaryota; Viridiplantae; Streptophyta; Magnoliopsida; Ranunculales; Papaveraceae. The transcript has 4 exons.
GUCUGUAGGAGAAACCGUUAGAGAGAGGCGAUCUUUGGUGGAGAAAGUUUUUCAGGUUUAAAUUUGAUUUUGGUUACUGUUUUUCGCUUAUUAUGAUCGUACACACCAAUCAGUCUGAUCUUUGUUCCUGAAGAAGAAAUUACUUAUAGUUGAAGAUGAUAUUUGUAAUCAUCUUCCCUAUUCCUGAACAUGAAAUCCAACGACUCACUGAAAAUUGGUGAGAUAGAGAUGGUCAUUGUUGUUGAUGACGACGAUAGAGAAAAUGAAGGAGAUUUAAUAAUGGCAUCAGUUUAACAAAUCCUAAAGCUAUGGCGGUUAUUAUAAAGCAUGGAACUGGAAUUGUGUGUGUCAGCAUGCAAAGAGAAGACUUGGACAUAGGCCUGUCAAUAUUUGUCCGAUAUCCGGCCUACUUGGACAGGUUACAACUUCUUUUAAUGGUUCAUAAUAAGGAGAAAGAGGAGAAACUUCGUACAACAUUCACAAUAAUAGAGGUUAUCUGCUAAACUUACCUCUGCAAAUAUGGAUGUUAUCCAACUGGAGAUUGGCUUGGUAUUUUUUUCAGUCUGUGCGAUUAGGGUGGCAGUUUGGCUAUCAUGGAUUUUUUGGAUUUUUGCAGUGGUGUACAUUAUUGUACACACCAAUGUAAAUUAAAAAUUUUAAAAAAUGAAAAUUAUAUAGUCGU